UAUUUCAGUGUCUGACUUCCUUUUCUAAACUCUGGAUGGCUUUCCCAGUGGUUCCUAACCUGAGGUCUCCCAAGGAGUCAUCAGGGAUAGAAGCACGGAUCCUUGAAUUUAAAUGACAGGAAAGACACACAUUUACUUUUACAAACUACGUGCUAAAUUCAGUAUUUUCUUCCAUCUUGAAUGCAGGUGAUUAACAAGGUAGCAUUAGGUAUUAUACUGGGUAAUAUUAGACAAUACAUUAGGCAUUACAUUAGAAACAGAACUACUUAUUUCUACACAUCUGUAGGUCACCUGGAUAUAAACGAAGACAACUCUGAUUUUAGAGAACUCAGAAUUUUAAAUCCAGGACACAAUACUUUUCACAUGUGUCACUGUGGACAAGAAGGCAGGGGACAUUUAACAGAGGUUCCACAAAUCACACAAAACAAGGAAGGGCAAAAUGGUAACGCGCUGUCUAACCUGUGACAGGAGGACAUUGCAUUAGUCCGUAAAUCGAGUACUGACAAAGAUAAAAAUUAGCAGAGACAUUAAGAGCAGUGGGUCUAGGGUAAACAUGUUCCUGGAUUUGGUCUAACUCUUCCAUGUACUAGCUGUGAGAGCCUGGGCAUUUCACUUCUGUAUCAGUUUUCUCACUUAAAGAAUGGAAAUGCUGGUCUCUCAGGGAAUUACUCAGAGGAGUAAAUUAAAUAGUGCACACACAGACUUAGUACAAUCACUACUAGCACAUUAACACUCGACAAUUUUGAUAAUUUCUAUUCCAUGAGCUGGACAAACACAGAAACA
Phyllostomus discolor (pale spear-nosed bat) is the source of this 783-nucleotide long non-coding RNA. RefSeq lists it as uncharacterized. Lineage: Eukaryota; Metazoa; Chordata; Mammalia; Chiroptera; Phyllostomidae. The transcript has 3 exons. The record is from RefSeq and is a predicted model, not a curated record.